Stegodyphus dumicola is the source of this 1219-nucleotide RNA transcript. RefSeq lists it as uncharacterized. The record is from RefSeq and is a predicted model, not a curated record. Lineage: Eukaryota; Metazoa; Arthropoda; Arachnida; Araneae; Eresidae.
CCGAGUAUUGUACUCAGGUUGGUUCAGGCUUGGCAGGGACCGUACUGGUACUGUCGUGUCUGUUCCUCCGGCUGUGGUGGAGCUAUAUGAUUAGAUAGUUUUGUGGCCUUCUCGAUGGGGGUUCAGCCCUCAGAGUUCCAGUGACGGGGACUGACAGAGUAAGGCAAGGCACCGAAAUGAAUUUAUACGUUGCCGAGUGAGUGGUGUGCCCCAAGGCAAAGGUGACAUAGCGUUCUAAUCUUACUGCAUAAGCGACAUUUAAUUUUCUCGUCCUGCUGAGGCUAUGUAUAAAGCCGGGCAGGGACUGUGGGGCCUGCGCAGCCACUGAGGGGUCCUACGUGACCCGGAUAGUAAUCUCGUAAGGAAUCCCAAGUCGAGGAUCUAGUUAUGGAGCACUUGUCCUGAAUAAAUGGUUUGUCGAGCUGAGGAUAUGUCAGAAUCGGAGCAGAUGUUAAAGCUUCUUUCAGGUUGUUAAAUGCGUCCUCACAUUCUUUAGUCCACAAAAACGCUUGCUUGUUCUCUGCCAAUUUCUGAAGAGGUCUUGCGAUGGAAGAGAUGUCCUUCACAAACCUCCUAUAGUAGGUGCAAAGCCCCAGAAAACUUCGCAGCUGAUGCGCAUUUUCGGAGAGUUUCCAGUCUAUCUGCUGGAUCCUUUGGCAGAGAUGACAUGUCCAAGGCGUACCUAUUAGGCAACAUUGUCGGGAGUAUAUUCCAAAAAAAGAAGGUAACAUGGCUGAAAAGAAUGAAGUUCAAGUACAAUGAUUUCGCUUCUUCAAAAGUAACCAGAAUUUUCCUGCGCAACCAAUUGAGUCUACGAUGUUAAGCCUUCUCAGGAGUGGAAAUAUUUUCCCAUAAAAUCAAUCUCAUCUGUGGACAAAUUUUCCCUGACAUUAAAUUUCAACAUUAUCACAGGUCAUACCCAAUUUUUUUUUCCAAGUUAAAAAUGUUACAAGAGUUUCAGCAACUGUAAAAUAUUCUGUCAGAAUUAUGGCAUAUUGGAUAAAAGCUUAUUGAAUGCAGUACGUUUCUCUUCUUCUCCCUCAAUUUUCACCCCCCCCGAAGGAGCGGGGUAUCUGACGUUUUGUUUUCAUUAAAAGAAAUUUUCUAUAAAUCCUUUAUUCUAUUUCUACAUCCUUAGCGUUUGAAUAAAAACAGGUUUCCUAAAACUUCAGUUUAUUAUUAGAUUUAUGGCAUUCAUUAAAAAGCAAAGAAACCUAAA